This 357-nucleotide unclassified non-coding RNA is filed under the name Hevea brasiliensis (rubber tree). The record is from RNAcentral. Lineage: Eukaryota; Viridiplantae; Streptophyta; Magnoliopsida; Malpighiales; Euphorbiaceae.
GAGCUGGUUUAUAAUUUCAUAAAGCAACACUAACUAGUCUCAAUCAGCAAGAAAGUUUAUUAAAGUUGUUAAAAAAAAAAGUGCAGGUAAUCAAAUGAACAAAAAUACUCUUCUCUAUGGCUUUACUAAUUGCAUAACUUAGUAGUAUGAGAUAAUUCAUCAUUUCUCUGCUUCACUAUGAACCAUUCAGCUCAUAAUCUUUGUUUUUUUUGCCCCUAUUCUUCAAGACUUCAGUGCCUAAUAACUUAGUAGACAUAGCCCUUUACAAACAUUCCUUGUUUAGCUUCAUCGGAUUCACCCUCACCGGUGUACUUUCCGAGCUGAGCAAGAGAGUUCGCUUUGGCCCUGACAAGUAAA